RNAcentral lists this transfer RNA (65 nucleotides) under Trichonephila inaurata madagascariensis. RNAcentral describes it as "tRNA-Val". Lineage: Eukaryota; Metazoa; Arthropoda; Arachnida; Araneae; Nephilidae. The record is from RNAcentral.
GCAGUGUAGUGGUUAUCACGUUCGCUUCACACGCGAAAGGUCUCCGUUCGAUCCCGACGGAACCA